GCCUCUGUUGCUGGCAGGAGGAAGAACAGCUUUGAUCCCGAUGAGAAAUGAGCACAGUGUUGAGCAUUGUGUGACUCUGAGCUGGAGCUGGAUAUUACUCUUGGCUCAGAUGAAGUGGAGCUGCUUCCUGGCAGAUACAGUAACACCCUGUGGUCCUCGUACCCCUGGCUGGGAACCUCUGACCGAAAGUUAAACAUGCUUCCUGCUCCUCCCUAAAAGGCCUCCCUGUCUCUGGACUUUCCAACACCAGACGGAGCAACCGGGCGGCUCAACACCUCCCCUCCCUCCCGCUCACUGAGUGCCUCGGAGAAAUAACGUUCAAAGGAAGACAAAGGUUUCAGCGUUUUACUUAAGAAUAGACAAAAAUUUAGUUUUUGGGAUUUAUGACGAAACUUGGUCAUAAUUCUCCUUUACACAAAGCAAACAUUCAUCUACCAGCUUCUCCUUGUCUCUCACGUAAAAGGAAAACUUUUACAUUUUAAAGGAAUAUAAAGACGUCAGACAGACCUUGAUAAGAAGAA
Molecule: long non-coding RNA, 521 nt
Organism: Dicentrarchus labrax (European seabass)
Lineage: Eukaryota; Metazoa; Chordata; Actinopteri; Moronidae
Exons: 2
Source: RefSeq, a predicted model, not a curated record